AACGAACGCUGGCGGCAUGCCUAACACAUGCAAGUCGAACGAGACCUUCGGGUCUAGUGGCGCACGGGUGCGUACCGCGUGGGAACCUGCCCUUAGGUUCGGAAUAACUCCCCGAAAGGGGUGCUCAUACCGGAUAAUGUCUUCGGACCAAAGAUUUCUCGCCUUUGGAUGGGCCCGCGUUGGAUUAGCUAGUUGGUAGGGUAAAAGCCUACCAAGGCGACGAUCCAUAGCUGGUCUGAGAGGAUGAUCAGCCGCACUGGGACUGAGACACGGCCCAGACUCCUACGGGAGGCAGGAGUGGGGAAUAUUGGACAAGGGGCGAAAGCCUGAUCCAGCAAUGCCGCGGGAGUGAUGAAGGCCUUAGGGUUGUAAAGCUCUUUUACCCGGGAUGAUAAUGACGGAACCGGGAGAAUAAGCCCCGGCUAACUCCGG
Molecule: ribosomal RNA, 432 nt
Filed under: uncultured bacterium
Lineage: Bacteria
Description: partial 16S ribosomal RNA
Rfam family: Bacterial small subunit ribosomal RNA
Source: RNAcentral